AGAGUUUGAUCCUGGCUCAGGACGAACGCUGGCGGCGUGCCUAAUACAUGCAAGUCGAGCGAAUGACGAGAAGCUUGCUUCUCUGAGUUAGCGGCGGACGGGUGAGUAACACGUGGGCAACCUGCCCUGUAGACUGGGAUAACUUCGGGAAACCGGAGCUAAUACCGGAUAAUCCAUUUCACCUCAUGGUGAAAUGUUAAAAGGCGCAUCUCGCGUCACUACAGGAUGGGCCCGCGGUGCAUUAGCUAGUUGGUGGGGUAACGGCCUACCAAGGCAACGAUGCAUAGCCGACCUGAGAGGGUGAUCGGCCACAUUGGGACUGAGACACGGCCCAAACUCCUACGGGAGGCAGCAGUAGGGAAUCUUCCACAAUGGACGAAAGUCUGAUGGAGCAACGCCGCGUGAGUGAUGAAGGUUUUCGGAUCGUAAAACUCUGUUGUAAGGGAAGAACAAGUACGCUAGGAAAUGAACGUACCUUGACGGUACCUUAUUAGAAAGCCACGGCUAACUACGUGCCAGCAGCCGCGGUAAUACGUAGGUGGCAAGCGUUGUCCGGAUUUAUUGGGCGUAAAGCGCGCGCAGGCGGUUUCUUAAGUCUGAUGUGAAAGCCCACGGCUUAACCGUGGAGGGUCAUUGGAAACUGGGAGACUUGAGUGCAGAAGAGGAAAGUGGAAUUCCAAGUGUAGCGGUGAAAUGCGUA
This 700-nucleotide ribosomal RNA is filed under the name uncultured bacterium. Its description in RNAcentral is "bacterial SSU rRNA". It matches the Rfam family "Bacterial small subunit ribosomal RNA", at positions 8 to 692 of the family's 1533-position model. The record is from RNAcentral.